RNA transcript from Zea mays, 2290 nucleotides. It is a transcript of the gene named long chain base biosynthesis protein 1b, with no coding region annotated. Lineage: Eukaryota; Viridiplantae; Streptophyta; Magnoliopsida; Poales; Poaceae. The transcript has 5 exons. The record is from RefSeq and is a predicted model, not a curated record.
CGUUGCGGACCCGCCACUCACCGCUUCUCUCGACCGCAUCUCUUCUCCGCGCCGCCGCUCGCCUGCACUUCUACGUGUGAAACGCGUCCGCGCCUAUGGCCUGCCCGUGCCCAGCUGCCCCCUCUCCACGCGAGCCUCUCUAGGCGUCAAGCGUGCCAUUAAGCAACCGUGGCCCCCACCCCUCCUCGGCUCUCUGCGUGAGCACAAGCAUGUCUCUGUAGCCCAUGUUCAACGGAUUUGAAAGGUAAAACAAAUCCAUUCACAUUCCAUCUUGGGUUUCCACACAUCUGAUCUAUGUAUUCCUAGUUCUAGGUGUCAGUGCUAGAGGAUUUGGAAAGGCGCUGUUUGAUAAGAAGACAAACCCGUGUCCUGGCAAGUGGAUACCUGUAGCCCGUAUGGACCAGUUUCUUUUAUCAUUUUACCUUGUCUCUCCAUGUAUUGCUCAAUUUGGAUACUGCAGAGAGAACACGAGAGAAACUGUUGUUGAGGAGAUCUGCAAUUUCGAUAUAUCUUUAUAUGUUAUCUCUAGUCUAGUGAUAGUACAAAUCUCAUCUUAAAUGAAGCUUGUUUGACGGUCUGAGUGAAGUCAAUGUAUAUAGCAAUAUAAAGUUUGCUAUAUUGAGAAAAAUAUUUAAAAGCAUUAUGGGAAACAAGUGAAAGAAUGUGGGUAUUAUUAAGUAUGCCGGGGCCGACAUACUUAUUUUGAAUAAGUAUGCCAAUUUUCAGCCCCUGGCGUACUUAAUUUUAAAAACAUCUGUUAAGCUUGUACCCACAUACUUCUCAUGUUGAGCUGUAUGUCAGAUUAGUCAAAAUUAUGGAAUUGUAAUCCUCUGCUCUUAAUCUUCUAGUACUAUUUGGGAUCAAUUUGUUGCAAGCUAGCAAACAUUUACUGUCUACUAUGAUAUAGUAAUAAAUUAUACGCCAUUACUGUGUUGCAGUGCUGCUUUUUUGGGACAUAUUUACUGUACUUGCUAUUAAAUUUAUUGAGAGUGCAUGCCCAAUAGUAGUUUGUUUUUACACCGUACACAAUUUAUUCUUGUUUUAUACGAACGGCAAAUUUGGUGCUGUCUUAAUCCUGAGUCUUUUGUGUCUUGAAAAACAUUAAGUUAUACCUACGGAAGCUCUUAUUGGCUAAUAAAUUAUGUUCAGUUAUCAUGCAAGCCUUUUCUUAAGUUUUAGCUUGGACAACAUCAAGGAUUGAAGGUGGAUUCUACGCUUGCUGUGCAGAAUCAAAAACUUCAUAUUGCCAUAACAGUUCACUUAACUUCUUUUAAUUAAAUUUGAUCCAUGAGCUAGCACUCCAUAGGACGUUUUCCUAAGAGUGUGGUACUAAUCCUUGCUUAGGUAUUAUGCUAUCAGUUAGCAUGUAUUUAUGAAUGGAGAAUAUGGAAUUGUAAUUCUCUGCCUAAAACUUCUAGUAGUUCUAUCUGGGAUCUUUUUGAAAUGUAUUUGUUGCUAUUUUCUUUUCUAAAACUAUAUUCUAAAUUUUAUUUUCAGGAAACAGGUCACCCAUCACAUUCGUCAUGUGCAAUUCUCUCAUGUCGUGCAGCCCAUUAAUUCCACUGAAGAAAACAUAGAAUGUGCAUCAUAAUGUCACAGAAGGCCUAAAAUGUUGUAGUGUGCGGCCAUUGCUCACGAGGAGGCAGAGUGUCGUGUUGCCGAGUGCCGCUGGACCACAUACGAUUGUUGAUGGUAAAGAAGUUGUGAACUUUGCAUCAGCAAACUACCUCGGUUUAAUUGGCAACGAAAAGAUUAUUGAUUCUUGCAUCAGUUCAUUGGAGAAAUAUGGUGUUGGUUCUUGUGGUCCACGUGGCUUUUAUGGAACAAUUGAUGUCCAUCUUGACUGUGAGUCAAAGAUAGCUAAAUUUUUGGGGACUCCAGACUCCAUUCUUUAUUCAUAUGGGAUUUCUACAAUAUUCAGUGUGAUACAUGCCUUCUGUAAGAAAGAAGAUAUCAUAGUCGCUUUGAUGUGAUUGCAGUAACGAGGGUGUUGACUGUUUGGUGAAAUGCUUGGGACAAAGUGGCCAGCAAGAAUGGAGUCAUGGAACAUCGACAGGAGGGGUGAGGCAGCGGCAACCGAUGUAUCCCUUGGACAAUCUGGUUUUGACAUGAUGCAAAUCAAUCUGCUGUACACUGUAUUCCGCACUUGCAUAGAUUGUUUGGUUAAUUACAAGAUUAUCUCAGUGUUUUGGUUUGGAUUUAGAGUACACUUAUGUAUGAAAUAUUGAUUGGUACUCAUGUAUAUUAUAUUAAUUAUAUUAUUAUUAAAUAUAUGUGUAUGUAUUUCUCU